CUACGGGCGGCACCAGUUAUGAAUCUUUUACAAUGCACGAAAGUGUGAUAAAGUGAACCAAAGUGAUUUUCUUUUUGAAAAUCUUUUCUCUGCUUUAAAACGGCAGGGGAAUAAGGACUGGGUAAGACAGGUGCCAGCCGCCGCGGUAAUACCUGCGGUCCAAGUUGCAACCAAUUUUAUUGGGUCUAAAACAUCCGUAGCUUGUCUGAUAAGUUCUUUGUGAAAUUUCGCAUCUCAAAUGCGAAGCGUGCAGGGAAUACUAUCAGACUAGAGACCGGUAGAUGUAAGGAGUACGGCCGAGGUAACGGUUAAAUGUGUUAAUCUCGGUUGGACUAACAAUUGGCGAAGGCACCUUACAAGGACGGAUCUGACAGUGAGGGAUGAAGGCCAGGGGCGCAAAACGGAUUAGAUACCCCGGUAGUC
RNAcentral lists this ribosomal RNA (423 nucleotides) under uncultured archaeon. RNAcentral describes it as "partial 16S ribosomal RNA". It matches the Rfam family "Archaeal small subunit ribosomal RNA", at positions 323 to 746 of the family's 1478-position model. The record is from RNAcentral.